GAGUUUGAUCCUGGCUCAGGAUGAACGCUGGCGGCGUGCCUAACACAUGCAAGUCGAACGAAGCACCUUACCGGAUUCUUCGGAUGAAAGUUUGGUGACUGAGUGGCGGACGGGUGAGUAACGCGUGGGUAACCUGCCCUGUACAGGGGGAUAACAGCUGGAAACGGCUGCUAAUACCGCAUAAGCGCACGAGGAGACAUCUCCUAGUGUGAAAAACUCCGGUGGUACAGGAUGGGCCCGCGUCUGAUUAGCUGGUUGGCAGGGUAACGGCCUACCAAGGCAACGAUCAGUAGCCGGUCUGAGAGGAUGAACGGCCACAUUGGAACUGAGACACGGUCCAAACUCCUACGGGAGGCAGCAGUGGGGAAUAUUGCACAAUGGGGGAAACCCUGAUGCAGCAACGCCGCGUGAGUGAAGAAGUAUUUCGGUAUGUAAAGCUCUAUCAGCAGGGAAGAUAAUGACGGUACCUGACUAAGAAGCUCCGGCUAAAUACGUGCCAGCCGCCGCGGUAAUAC
RNAcentral lists this ribosomal RNA (515 nucleotides) under uncultured bacterium. RNAcentral describes it as "bacterial SSU rRNA". It matches the Rfam family "Bacterial small subunit ribosomal RNA", at positions 9 to 526 of the family's 1533-position model. The record is from RNAcentral.